GAGAUGUUGGGUUAAGUCCCGCAACGAGCGCAACCCUUGAUUUUAGUUGCCAGCAUUCAGGUGGGCCCUUUAAGGGGGCUGCCGGUGACAAACCGGAGGAAGGUGGGGAAGACGUCAAAUCAUCCUGCCCCUUAUGGCCUGGGGUACCCCCGUGGUUCAAUGGACAGAACAAAGGGCAGCGAAACCGCGAGGUUAAGCCAAUCCCACAAAUCUGUUUUCAGUUCGGAUUGCAGUUUGCAACUUGGCUGCGUGAAGCUGGAAUCGCUAGUAAUCGCGGAUCAGCAUGCCGCGGUGAAUACGUUUCCGGGCCUUGUACA
Molecule: ribosomal RNA, 317 nt
Filed under: Bacillus subtilis
Lineage: Bacteria; Bacillati; Bacillota; Bacilli; Caryophanales; Bacillaceae
Description: bacterial SSU rRNA
Rfam family: Bacterial small subunit ribosomal RNA
Source: RNAcentral